AUGGCUACCAAAGUAGGAGGCGUCUCCGAUUCCCCCGGUUCUCAAAACUCGGCCGAAAUCGAAUCCCUUGCUCGAUUUGCCGUCGAUCAACACAACACCAAACAGAAUUCUCUUCUGGAGUUUACAAGGAUGGUCAAAACACGGGAACAGGUUGUUGCUGGUACACUGCAUCACCUUACGAUUGAGGCUGUUGAUGCGGGUGAGAAGAAGAUCUAUGAAGCUCAAGUAUGGGUCAAACCAUGGCUGAAUUUUAAAGAACUUCAAGAGUUCAAGCAUGCCGGUGGUGAUUAG
RNAcentral lists this long non-coding RNA (291 nucleotides) under Vicia faba (fava bean). The record is from RNAcentral. Lineage: Eukaryota; Viridiplantae; Streptophyta; Magnoliopsida; Fabales; Fabaceae.